This 164-nucleotide ribosomal RNA is filed under the name Diabelia sanguinea. RNAcentral describes it as "Abelia sanguinea 5.8S ribosomal RNA". It matches the Rfam family "5.8S ribosomal RNA". From Rfam's summary of the family: 5.8S ribosomal RNA (5.8S rRNA) is a component of the large subunit of the eukaryotic ribosome. The record is from RNAcentral. Lineage: Eukaryota; Viridiplantae; Streptophyta; Magnoliopsida; Dipsacales; Caprifoliaceae.
CAAACGACUCUCGGCAACGGAUAUCUCGGCUCUCGCAUCGAUGGAGAAUGUAGCGAAAUGCGAUAGUUGGUGUGAAUUGCAGAAUCCCGUGAACCAUCGAGUCUUUGAACGCAAGUUGUGCCCAAAGCCCUUAGGCCAAGGGCAUGUCUGCCUGGGCGUCACGC